RNAcentral lists this long non-coding RNA (7414 nucleotides) under Lactuca sativa (garden lettuce). Its description in RNAcentral is "long non-coding RNA (LSAT_LNC001534)". The record is from RNAcentral. Lineage: Eukaryota; Viridiplantae; Streptophyta; Magnoliopsida; Asterales; Asteraceae.
UGAGGAGCUGGGUACUAAAUUGCAUUUUAGUACCGCAUACCAUCCCCAGACAGACGGUCAGAGCGAGCGGACAAUUCAGACGCUGGAGGACAUGCUCCGAGCGUGUGUGUUAGACUUCGGGGGUAGUUGGGAUGCGUAUUUACCAUUGGCAGAGUUUUCCUACAACAACAGCCAUCAUUCGAGCAUUGGUAUGCCACCUUUCGAGCUGUUGUAUGGUAGGAGGUGUCGGACCCCCAUUUGCUGGGGAGAGGUGGGACAGAGAGUGAUGGGCAGCACGGAGAUCAUACUCCAGACGACAGAGCAGAUUCAACAAGUGAGACAAAGAUUAUUGACUGCCCAGAGCCGACAGAAGAGUUAUGCAGACAGGCGCCGAUCCGAGCUUGAAUUUCAAGUCGGCGACUUCGUUCUCCUGAAGGUCUCUCCUUGGAAAGGAGUGAUUCGAUUCAGGAAGAGGGGCAAGUUGGGGCCCCGGUAUAUUGGGCCAUUUCGUGUGAUUGCAAGGAUAGGUCGGGUAGCCUAUCGGUUGGAGUUGCCAGCGGAGUUGGGUCAGAUCCAUGACACUUUUCAUGUGUCGCAGUUGAGGAAGUGCAUAGCCGAUGAGUCGGCAGUGGUUCCAUUGGAGGAUAUUCAGGUGGAUGCGAGCCUGAAUUACGCGGAGAGACCAGUGGCUAUCAGGGAUCGGAAGAUCAAGGUUCUGAGGAACAAGGAGGUACCUCUGGUGUUGGUUCAAUGGCAACACCGUAAGGGAUCAGAAAUGACUUGGGAACCGGAGCGCGAAAUGCGGGAGCAGCAUCCGGAACUAUUUGCAGAGUGAGACUUCGAGGGCGAAGUCUAAUCCAAGUGGGGGAGAGUUGUAACAGCCCGGAAUCUCAGGUAUUAUUAAAAUUAUGUUUUUGGGGUGAUUUAAGAGGGGACUCGGCGAGUUGGAGCCUAGACUCGCCGAGUAGGAUCGCAGACUUGGUCGCGGGUCCGCGACUGGACUCGACGAGUCCAGAUAUGGACUCGGCGAGUCGACGCUGUUCAGCAGAAACCCUAACCGUUCAGUUUGGAUCGUAUUUAACGCCUCUUAGGCCGUCAUUUUCAGUCUUUUGGUCAAUUGAGAGGAACCCUAAUCGCUGUGGACGCCUAGAGCAAGGGAGAAAGCUUUGGAACUUGGAAGAAUUGGUUAGGCAAGAAGAAGAGGGAUUUGGCUAAAGGAAUAUCAAGGAGGAUUGAGUCCUGAGAUUUGGGGGACACAGAGAGUGCGUUUUCAGGUAAUACUCGGACCAAAUCUGUUAUUUUGAUGUAUUUAUGAAAUUAGGGUUUAUAGAACCCAUUUAGUGAUUUGAUGAAGUAAUGCCUUGUUACCCCACGAUUAUAGUCUUGUAUUAGGACCUUUAGAGGUCCAGAAGGUCCCAUGCAUGUGUACUUCGGGACGAGACCUAUCUCAGGAAGCAGUUACUCGUCUGCAUGGCAUGGACUCGCCGAGUUGUUCUUCAGACUCGGCGAGUAGCUUGAAGAUUUGCUGGGACUCGCCGAGUUGUUCAUCAGACUCGGCGAGUGGAGUCGGGGUGGCCCCGCGAUUCUUCCACGAGGACCUCGUCGAGUCAAGAGGGAUACUCGACGAGUAGAAAGGGAAUAUUCAGGAAUUUGUGAGGACGACUAGACUCGCCGAGUCGCCAUGGUACUCGCCGAGUCCAGUCGAGUUGACCGUUGACCGUUGACCAGAGUUGACCUAAGUCUGACUUCUUAGGGAUAGUCACACUUAGAUGAUAUGAGUGUUAAUGAGUUAUGUAAUGUUAUAGGAGGGUUGUAGCUCGUUGGUUUGUGCGCGAGUGAUUUCAGGAGUUGCUAGCUUUCAGCACUUACGAGGUGAGUCUUCUCACUAUACUGUACCCGGAAGGGUUUGACUGUGUGACCGGAAGGUCGGAUAUGAUAUGUGAUAUGUAUGCUAUAUGUGGUAUGUUAUAUGUUAUAUGUGCUAUGUAUGUUAUGGGCCGGAAGGCGAAUAUGUUAUGGGCCGGAAGGCGAUAUGAUGUGUGAUGGACCGGAAGGUCGGCGUGGGUAAGGCCGGAAGGUUUACCCAGCAGGGACGGAAGUCCCCUGAGACACAUGGACCGGAAGGUCGGGCCUGGAAAGGCGUAUGUGCGUAAGUUGUAUAUUGGGGAACUCACUAAGCAUUUAUGCUUACAGUUGUUGUGCAUGUAUUUCAGGUACUAGCGAGGACCGUGGGAAGGCGCCGGCAUGAUCGAUACACACUGAAGAUUGUUUUAUGAUCUUGGGAGUUUGAAUAAUUGUAUUGACCGAAUAAUUAAACUGUUUAUGCCUUGUUUUUAAUGGAAAUAAUUAUGUUUUAAAAAUGAAAAAUUUGUUUGAAAAAUUUGAGUUGUUACAAUUGGUAUCAGAGCCUUGGUUUGAGGGAUUCGGGUGCACCUUCGGGGGUAACUGAACUCAAACCGAGGAUUUGAGGAAACUUUUCAAAUAAAGGCAUAAACUUUUGUAAAUGGUUUUGUGGUAAGCAAGAAAGAAGCAGUGUGUACGAUCAGUCAGCGCCCGAACGGUAAAGAUCCCCAAAAUACCUUACAAUAUUAUAUGAUAUGAAUUGUUAUGCAUGCUAGAAGACUAGGUAUUCAUGAUAGGACUAGAGUGGCCUGAUUUGUGAUGCCUUAGUCUAGGGAAGUUGCCUAUAUGAGAUGCUUUGCUAGUAUGCGGGUAGAUAGAGCGUAUCAGAAGUAGAGUACUCACUAUCUGGAGUUUGGGGAGGAGGACUUGGGAUGAACAUUGAUGCGGUGUGGUCGGUAGUAUUGGGCCCGUACUACCGAGGACACCGGGUCAGUGGGAGGCCCAAGUAAGAAUCCCUGGAUAUCUGGGACUGAGUAGGGUUGCGUGUCGAGUACGAUUAUACUCGGUAGAAUCUCUGAUAGUUUUAUGUUGUAUUUCAGAGAUAUCAUGGUUAGACCGCGGCACGGGGCAAGUACGAGCGGUGUGAGUGACGAGGAUAUUCGUCAGAUGAUCCACGAGGAGGUGGCGGCGGCGAUCCGGGCUGAGAUCCCGGAGAUGUUUGGGUCUAUCAAGACCACCCUGAUGGAGACGUUCGACGAGCGGUACGCCGCAUUGACUGAGGCUGCAACCGCUGCAGCUACCGCAGCUGUGGCCGCUGCUAGGCCACAGGGGGGUGAUUCAUUGCUGUUCCGAGAGUUCAGCAACACGAAGCCACCAGAGUUCGAUGGGACGCAGGAUCCGAUUGCUGCGAUGAGGUGGAUCGCAGAUAUAGAGGGGUGCUUCUACACUUGUUCAUGCCCGGAGCACCUGAGGGUACGGUUCGCUUUGAACCAGCUCCGUCUGGGAGCAAAGGACUGGUGGAAGUUCGUGACGGCGAACUUCACUUUGGCAGAGACUGCGGCAGUGACAUGGGAGGGGUUCACUACCAUGUUCAGGGAGGAGUACGUUCCCCCGGUGGAGCGGGAACGAUUGGUUCAGGAGUUCUUAACCCUCAAGCAGGGUACUGAUUCGGUGGCGGCGAUCACGCGGAAGUUCCAUGAGAGGGCGAUGUUUUGCCCCGAGCUGGUGGCCACAGAGCAGGCUCGGAUGAGCCGGUACUUGGGUGUUCUGAGGAGGGAGAUCCGGGAGUUUGUGUCAAACUCCACUUACCAUACUUUUACUGAGCUUCAGGCGAAUGCCAGGAAGCGUGAGAUCGAGUUAGAGACUCAGGCCAGGGAGGAGGCCGAGUCUCAGCAGGCAGACCGGCGGCCGGCUCAGUCUCAGCCGGCAGCCAAGCGGAUCAAGUCCGCCGAUUCGAGGACGGGAGGUUCGAAGAACCGCACUUGCGUAAAGUGCGGCAAGGGUCACGAUGGGGCGUGUCGAGCCGGUGCUUGCUACAAGUGUGGCAAGGAGGGACACAUUGCUAGGGAGUGUCCCAAGGGAUUUAUGGUUUGCUUUCAUUGCAACCAGACCGGCCAUCGGAAGGCCGAGUGCCCUCAGCUUCGUCAGGGAUCUGCACCUGUUGCCAGGACUACUGAGACUCGACCGGUGAAGGUCGAGGCCCCGAGGGCUCGUGGGAGAGCCUUUCAGCUGACUGCGGAGGAGGUCCGCGCUGCGCCCGAUGUUGUGGCAGGUAUGUUGUAAUUCAUGUAUUUAUUUUAAUGUCGAUAUGUUAUGCUUAUGUUAUUAUGCGCGUAGGUACUUUCCUUGUGAACUCUGUGCCUGCCUUAGUGUUAUUUGACUCGGGUGCGAGUAGGUCCUUUGUGUCCUUAGCCUUUAGUCAGCAUAUCGGCGUUAGUCGUGAGUCGUUGAGUCGACCUUUGAGAGUUUCUAUAGCUGACGAGAAGGUGAUUUGUGCUACGGAGGUUCUUCGGGGAUGUGUACUAGAGAUUUUCGGGGUUGGAUUCCCGAUUGACCUGAUUCCUAUUGCGAUGGGGGAUGUCUGUGUUAUCGUGGGCAUGGACUGGUUGAGCCGAUUCGGCGCUGUCAUCGACUGCGAGCGUCAGUUGGUGACCAUACGAGACCAUAGUGGGGGAGUUCUUUCGGUGUACGGUGAGGGUACCCGUUCAGGAUCAGCUUUUUGUUCGGCCGCUAGGGCGAGGCAGUGUCUACAGCAGGGCUGUAAGGGUUUUGUGGCGUAUGUGAUGGAUACGCGGGAGGUUUCCGAGAGACCGAAGUCAGUUGAGGAGGUCCCUGUGGUGCGUGAGUUUUCAGAUGUUUUUCCCGAGGAACUGCCGGGAGUACCUCCUGUGAGGCAAGUAGAGUUUGGUAUCGAUCUGGUUCCGGGGGCCGCGCCUAUUGCUAAAGUGCCCUAUCGUCUUGCACCUCCAGAGAUGCAAGAGUUGUCCUCGCAACUCCAGGAGUUGCUGGGGAAGGGAUUCAUUCGGCCGAGCAGCUCGCCAUGGGGAGCACCUAUUCUGUUCGUCAAGAAGAAGGAUGGUUCACACCGGAUGUGCAUUGAUUACCGGGAGUUGAACAAGCUAACGGUCAAGAACCGUUACCCGUUGCCGAGGAUCGAUGAUUUAUUCGAUCAGUUGCAGGGAGCAUCUUGGUUUUCCAAGAUCGAUCUGAGGUCAGGAUACCAUCAGGUGAGAGUACGGGAUGAAGACGUCCAGAAGACAGCGUUUAGGACGCGAUAUGGGCAUUAUGAGUUUGUGGUGAUGCCUUUUGGACUCACCAAUGCCCCGGCUGUGUUCAUGGAUCUCAUGAACAGGGUAUGCAGGCCGAUGUUGGAUCGGUCAGUGAUUGUAUUUAUCGACGACAUUCUGGUGUAUUCGAGAUCUAGAGAGCAGCAUGAGGAGCAUUUGAGGGAGGUCCUUGAGGUAUUGAGGUCGGAGAAGCUUUAUGCAAAGUUCUCCAAAUGUGACUUCUGGUUGCGGGAGGUCCAGUUUCUAGGACAUGUGGUUAAUCAGAAAGGGAUAUUGGUCGAUCCGGCCAAGGUUGAGGCGGUGAUGAGUUGGGAGGUGCCGAAGUCACCCUCUGAGAUCAGAAGUUUCCUUGGGUUGGCAGGGUAUUAUCGGAGAUUUAUCAAGGAUUUCUCCAAGAUCGCAGUGCCACUCACCAGAUUGACCCGGAAGGGUGUUACAUUCUCAUGGGGGCCCGAGCAGCAGACCUCCUUUGAGACACUUCGCCAGAGAUUGUGCGAAGCCCCGGUAUUAGCUCUCCCAGAAGGGAUGGAAGAUUUCGUGGUAUAUUGCGACGCAUCGAUUUCGGGAUUGGGUGCAGUGUUGAUGCAGAGGGGUCAUGUGAUAGCUUAUGCGUCGAGGCAGCUGAAGCCUCAUGAGGCGAGAUAUCCCACGCAUGAUUUAGAGUUGGGGGCAGUAGUGUUCGCUCUCAAGAUUUGGCGUCACUACUUGUAUGGGGUUCGAUGUACGAUAUACACGGACCAUAAGAGUUUGAAGUAUUUGAUGGAUCAACCCAACCUAAAUAUGCGUCAGAGGAGGUGGUUGGAUGUGGUCAAGGAUUAUGAUUGUGAGAUCCUGUACCACCCAGGCAAGGCUAAUGUGGUAGCCGAUGCAUUGAGCCGCAGGGCGGAGAGCACUCCAUUGCGAGAUGUAUGCUUGAGACUGACUGUGAUGACUCCAGUAUUGGACGCUAUUCGUGGGGCCCAGGCAGAGGCUGUGCGACCAGAAAUGCAGAAGAAAGAGCGGGUUGUGGGGUUAAUCUCAGAGUUUGUCAAGGAUAGUCGAGGCCUUAUGACGUUUCAGGGUCGGAUUUGGGUACCGUUCGUGGGCGGUACGCGUAUUACGUUGAUGGAAGAGGCUCAUAGAUCGAAAUUCUCGAUCCAUCCCGGUGCUACAAAGAUGUAUUUGGAUUUAAGGAAGGAAUAUUGGUGGCCCUGUAUGAAGAGGGACGUGGCAUGGUUCGUUGAGAGGUGCUUGACCUGUCGUAGGGUUAAGGCUGAGCACCAGAGACCGCAUGGCAAGUUACAGCCAUUGGAGAUCCCCGAGUGGAAGUGGGAACAGAUCACUAUGGAUUUUAUCACCAAAUUGCCGAGGACUGCUAGGGGAGUUGACGCAAUUUGGGUGAUCGUGGAUAGGUUGACAAAGAGUGCACACUUCCUUGCCAUCAGUGAGAGUUCUUCGGCGGAGAAAUUGGCGGAGAUAUACGUGAGAGAGGUGGUAUCUCGGCACGGGGUGCCGAUCUCGAUUGUGUCAGACCGUGAUGUGCGCUUUACUUCCAGAUUCUGGAAGAAAUUCCAUGAGGAGCUGGGUACUAAAUUGCAUUUUAGUACCGCAUACCAUCCCCAGACAGACGGUCAGAGCGAGCGGACAAUUCAGACGCUGGAGGACAUGCUCCGAGCGUGUGUGUUAGACUUCGGGGGUAGUUGGGAUGCGUAUUUACCAUUGGCAGAGUUUUCCUACAACAACAGCCAUCAUUCGAGCAUUGGUAUGCCACCUUUUGAGUUGUUGUAUGGUAGGAGGUGUCGGACUCCCAUUUGCUGGGGAGAGGUGGGACAGAGAGUGAUGGGCAGUACAGAGAUCGUACUCCAGACGACAGAGCAGAUUCAGCAGGUUAGGCAGAGGUUAUUGACCGCCCAUAGCCGACAGAAGAGUUAUGCGGACAGACGCCGGUCCGAGCUUGAAUUCCAGGUUGGCGACUUCGUUCUCCUGAAGGUUUCUCCUUGGAAAGGAGUGAUCCGGUUCAGAAAGAGGGGCAAGUUGGGACCCCGGUUCAUAGGUCCAUUUCGGGUAAUUGCAAGAGUAGGUCGGGUAGCUUAUCGGCUAGAGUUGCCAGCAGAGUUGGGACAGAUUCACAAUACCUUUCACGUAUCACAGUUGAGGAAGUGUAUAGCCGAUGAAUCGGCAGUGGUUCCGUUAGAGGAUAUUCAGGUGGAUGCGAGUCUGAAUUACGCCGAGAGACCAGUAGCUAUCAGGGAUCGGAAGGUCAAGGUUCUGAGGAACAAGGAGGUACCUCUGGUGUUGGUUCAGUGGCAACACCGAAAGGGAUCAGA